Macrobrachium nipponense is the source of this 1454-nucleotide long non-coding RNA. RefSeq lists it as uncharacterized. The transcript is spliced from 2 exons. The record is from RefSeq and is a predicted model, not a curated record. NCBI's taxonomy places the organism in Eukaryota, Metazoa, Arthropoda, Malacostraca, Decapoda, Palaemonidae.
UGACCUCCAGGGCCUUGCUGUGAUCCUGUUACUGGAAGGAGACACCAUAAAAGAGCAACGGUCAGUCUUUUUCGCCCAGUAUGCGUCAACACGUCCGAGGCGUCGGAAGAGAGUGCGUGUGCUUUCUCUCAGCAUGAAAAGCAAGCCCUCGAGAAGAACAUGGAAAAAACAAAGGAAGGUCGCCAUCGAGUACCUUCGCUCCUGCAGGACGGAUAGGAGGGCUUUCCUCCGAUUUUACCUUCACUUGGAGCAUUAGGACAGCGAGCAAAAUCAAUCUUCGGAAUGGCCCUCACACCGCUUCUUCCAAAUCCCAGUGGAAAAGUCAAAAACGUCUGACGAUGGAGAAGGUGGACUAUUGUAAAUCUUUCUGGUUAGUCCAGUACAGGAAAAUUCCACCCAAACCCGAUCAGAUUUGGCCCAGCCCACAAAAUGGUGAAGAGAUGUUCUUCAUCUUUACGUAAGGAAUAUACUUAUUGGUAGUGAAGCCAGUUUGAAGUUAUUUGCGAACUUGGGUAACGUUCUUUAUAAGACCUACAAAUGCUCAAUCCGUGGGAUUGUUUGUUAAUAGUUAAAACAGAUAUCUUUUAUAGGUAAGUAUUUCUUAGCCUUAUCUUGGAGCUAUAGGUUUAAAUCCUCCUUAUCAUUGUAUUAGUAUAUAUCAGAAUCAUCUGCUUUACCAAAGGAAAAUGAAGUUUUGGUAAGAAUGGGCGAUAAGCUAGACUGGUUUUGAUUUAGUUUGUACCAUAAACUCACCUGCAGCCGUAGGAAGGCAAGAAGAAGAUAAUUAUCACAAACUUGGACACCAAGACCCAACGACGAAUUUCAGCUGAAGGGAAUGAAAUAGUAAGAGAAGUUGAAAUAUUUCGAGGAGUCAAAGAGGCAGAAAGGCAAACGAAAUAUCUUCAAUAACGACUUUCACUGCAGCUGCUGGACACUGCACAAGAUUAGCCAUUUGUGACUCUUGUGCGUGUGACAGCGGCUAUUGUGGAAAAUCAAAUACUUCAGAGCUGUUUUCGCCCUCUUCCGUUUCGUAUCUCUACAAGGAAGGGAAAAUGAUGAUAUUAAUGAUGAUGAUGAUGAUGAUGAUGAAGAUAGAAGCUGUAUGAGAGGUGUUUGUUAUAGUCUAUGGAAACUACUUCAGAUCAACUGUAAUGCGUAUUGUAACAAAUCAUGGUAAUAGAAGAAGACCAGUUACUCUGUUGCUGAUUUCGUUUUGUAUAUCCUACUUUCCUCGUUGGAAUUCAAGAAGAGGACGAACGCCAUGAUGAAGAAACAGGAGGAUGCUCGUGCUAUGGUACAUGUAAAUUAUUUUUUGGUUAAAAGUUUGGAACCUCAAUAGUAGAUUGUAAAACAGGAUCCUGGACCAUUUUUCUCUUACUAAAUGUGUUCUGCACCUCUCUUUUUCAGAGAAUAUGUUGCGGAAACUAAUAAAUAUAAGUUAAUUGUUAAUUGGC